This 650-nucleotide ribosomal RNA is filed under the name uncultured bacterium. RNAcentral's name for it is "bacterial SSU rRNA". It matches the Rfam family "Bacterial small subunit ribosomal RNA", at positions 41 to 686 of the family's 1533-position model. The record is from RNAcentral.
GGGGAGGUUAACUGGCAAUCUCGACCGGGGCCGCGCAGGCUGAAGGCUUUUUCGGAAGCGGAAGCCUGCGCUGCCCAGUGGCGGACGGGUGAGUAACGCGUGGGCAACCUGCCCUGCACUGGGGGACAACAGCCGGAAACGGCUGCUAAUACCGCAUAUGCCCGCAGCCCCGCAUGGGGCGGCGGGGGAAGCUCCGGCGGUGCAGGAUGGGCCCGCGUCUGAUUAGCUGGUUGGCGGGGCAACGGCCCACCAAGGCGACGAUCAGUAGCCGGCCUGAGAGGGUGGGCGGCCACAUUGGGACUGAGACACGGCCCAGACUCCUACGGGAGGCAGCAGUGGGGGAUAUUGCACAAUGGGGGGAACCCUGAUGCAGCGACGCCGCGUGGGCGAUGGAGUGCUUCGGCAUGUAAAGCCCUAUCAGCAGGGAAGAAAAUGACGGUACCUGACUAAGAAGCCCCGGCUAAAUACGUGCCAGCAGCCGCGGUAAUACGUAUGGGGCAAGCGUUAUCCGGAUUUACUGGGUGUAAAGGGAGCGUAGGCGGCCUGGCAAGCCUGAUGUGAAAUACCGGGGCCCAACCCCGGGGCUGCAUUGGGAACUGCCAGGCUGGAGUGCCGGAGAGGCAGGCGGAAUUCCUAGUGUAGCGGUGAAA